This is a long non-coding RNA of Pezoporus occidentalis (night parrot), 621 nucleotides long. RefSeq lists it as uncharacterized. The transcript is spliced from 2 exons. The record is from RefSeq and is a predicted model, not a curated record. Lineage: Eukaryota; Metazoa; Chordata; Aves; Psittaciformes; Psittacidae.
AGACUGACAGUUUCUCUUUGCCCAUUGCAUGGCAGGGAUUUGUUCAUACAGGGGUUGUGUCCCACCUUACUUUGUCUACACAGGCUGGAUCUUUCUCUGGAGGCAGUGUGGGGUGAGCAACAAUUGUCUGUCUAAGGCAAAAGGAUUUACAGCAUCAUUUGUCAUCAUUUAAAGAUAAAUGAAAAGGACACUUUUGCUGAUGAGUCUACAAAGGUAAGUCCUGUUUCUUCCCCUUACUUUCUCCUCAUUACUUUUCUAUGAGGACACAGUAGCAAGAACCAAGGCAGAAGCUGUGCAAAACAAAAAAGACCUUUUCCGAGGUUCCAAAAGGUCAGUUUCCAAGGCAGAGAUGUGGAUGCUGGGGCUCAUUUCACCCAGCCUGAGCUGCACCACCAGGUGACAGCUUUUGGCCAAGAGGAGGAAGUUAAACAAGGAAAGAGUCAGCAAGAGCCUGUUGCUCAAUCAACUGUAUGGGAGAGCCAUGCCCUCCUGUAUGAGAGAGGCUGCACUACCUCAUACAGCACAGAGACCCAGGAGGACUCACCUUUGCCAUGUGCUGGCUUCCUGGAUGAUGGGAGAGGGUUUGGGAUGAGAAAAACAGGAUUAAACCAAGAAAAUUUC